This 459-nucleotide ribosomal RNA is filed under the name uncultured bacterium. RNAcentral describes it as "partial 16S ribosomal RNA". It matches the Rfam family "Bacterial small subunit ribosomal RNA", at positions 338 to 795 of the family's 1533-position model. The record is from RNAcentral.
CCUACGGGUGGCAGCAGUGAGGAAUAUUGGUCAAUGGCCGGAAGGCUGAACCAGCCAAGCCGCGUGAAGGAUGAAGGUGCCAAGCGUUGUAAACUUCUUUUGUCAAGGGACAAAAUCAGGCACGAGAGCCUGAUCGUAGGUACUUGAUGAAAAAGCAUCGGCUAACUCCGUGCCAGCAGCCGCGGUAAUACGGAGGAUUCGAGGUUUAACCGGUUUUAUUGGGUUUAAAGGGUGCGUAGGCGGAUUGUUAAGUUAGUGGUAAAAGCUUGGGGCCAAACCCCAGCUAGCCGUUGAAACUGGCUGUCUUGAGAUGUCGAGAGGUAUGCGGAAUGCGCAGUGUAGCGGUGAAAUGCUUAGAUAUUGCGCAGAACUCCGAUUGCGAAGGCAGCAUACCGGCGGCGAUCUGACGCUGAGGCACGAAAGCGUGGGUAUCGAACAGGAUUAGAUACCCCUGUAGUC